Molecule: ribosomal RNA, 714 nt
Filed under: Triticum aestivum (bread wheat)
Lineage: Eukaryota; Viridiplantae; Streptophyta; Magnoliopsida; Poales; Poaceae
Description: partial small subunit ribosomal RNA
Source: RNAcentral
GUUUUGGCAUAGGCUCGGGCUUGGGCUCUGGCUUUGGUUCAGGUUUGGGCAUCGGGUAAGGCUUGGGCUCAGGUUUUGGUUCGGGCUUUGGCAUCGGCUCCGGCUUCGGUUCCGGUUUGGGCUCUGGCUUUGGCAUGGGCUCAGGUUUGGGCAUAGGCUUAGGCUCUGGCUUUGGCAUGGGUUCAGGCUUAGGCAUUGGCUCUGGCUUGGGUUCCGGCUUGGGCUCCGGGUACGGCGUCGGCUUGGGCUCCGGCUCCGGGAGCUUCUCAGCGAGGCCACGGCCAGCGGCGGCCGCCUGGCUGAAGCCGGAGGCCGCGACUAGCCCGACGAGGAGCACGGCAAGGAGGCUGUGCCUCGCCAUUGCUGCCCGCUCCUCCUUCUCGCAGCUCUUGCUGCACUUGUGCUUCACUGCUUCUAAACCUCUCUACUGAGAUAAAGUGGAUGGGGUGUCGGUGUGGUUCCUCUGAAUGGUGGUGUGGAGAACCGGAGAUGGCAUAUGGGGUGGCUUUAUAGGGCGGAGGGACCAAGCAGGUUGGGACGCGUGUGCCACACUCCCGAAUCCCGAUCGACCAGUGCCUGUGGGUCUCCGGGUGGAUCAGGUUACCUCAACUUUUCAUCUGCCGUCUGCACCUUCCUCCCGCCUGGACUGCAAGGCAGCGGCAGUACUAGUAAUGAGAAGAGACCGCGGACAGUAAAUUCGUGCUGUGGACGCCG